RNAcentral lists this unclassified non-coding RNA (341 nucleotides) under uncultured Chrysosporium. RNAcentral's name for it is "sequence contains ITS1". The stretch from base 1 to 105 matches the Rfam family "5.8S ribosomal RNA", at positions 50 to 154 of the family's 154-position model. The record is from RNAcentral. Lineage: Eukaryota; Fungi; Ascomycota; Eurotiomycetes; Onygenales.
GAAAUGCGAUAACUAAUGUGAAUUGCAGAAUUCCGUGAAUCAUCGAGUCUUUGAACGCACAUUGCGCCCCCUGGCAUUCCGGGGGGCAUGCCUGUCCGAGCGUCAUUGCAACCCUCAAGCCUGGCUUGUGUUAUGGGCGGCCGUCCCAGCGGCCCGGUUUCCACCCGGGUCGGGACGCGCCCCAAACGGAGCGGGGGACGUCGCGAUACCUGAGCCUCAGCGAAUGGGAUCUACCAAAGCUGUACGGCCCGGGCCGAUGUUCGCCUUGACCGGCCUCUCCUUCCGGAGGGCCAUUCUAUCCGGUUGACCUCGGAUCAGGUAGGGAUACCCGCUGAACUUAA